GCUCCUACGGGAGGCUGCAGUGGGGAAUCUUGCGCAAUGGGCGAAAGCCUGACGCAGCCAUGCCGCGUGAAUGAUGAAGGUCUUAGGAUUGUAAAAUUCUUUCACCGGGGACGAUAAUGACGGUACCCGGAGAAGAAGCCCCGGCUAACUUCGUGCCAGCAGCCGCGGUAAUACGAAGGGGGCUAGCGUUGCUCGGAAUUACUGGGCGUAAAGGGAGCGUAGGCGGACAUUUAAGUCAGGGGUGAAAUCCCGGGGCUCAACCUCGGAAUUGCCUUUGAUACUGGGUGUCUUGAGUAUGAGAGAGGUGUGUGGAACUCCGAGUGUAGAGGUGAAAUUCGUAGAUAUUCGGAAGAACACCAGUGGCGAAGGCGACACACUGGCUCAUUACUGACGCUGAGGCUCGAAAGCGUGGGGAGCAAACAGGAUUAGAUACCCUUGUAGUCGAAUUCUU
Molecule: ribosomal RNA, 451 nt
Filed under: uncultured bacterium
Lineage: Bacteria
Description: bacterial SSU rRNA
Rfam family: Bacterial small subunit ribosomal RNA
Source: RNAcentral